Long non-coding RNA from Helicoverpa zea (corn earworm), 797 nucleotides. RefSeq lists it as uncharacterized. The record is from RefSeq and is a predicted model, not a curated record. Lineage: Eukaryota; Metazoa; Arthropoda; Insecta; Lepidoptera; Noctuidae. The transcript has 3 exons.
GGGCUCUUUGUGCGAGUGUAGAUAAAGACACUCUAUUCGCGACACGAUGAGAGAAGCACGUCUAUAAACGACUAUUGCAAGUUAUGCAGAUGUACGAUUCAAAGUCCAAGCGGCCAGGCUCUGAUGAAAGACACGCUGUUCUCGCGGUUUCACCCAUAUCCCGGGAGAAUCAGUCCUGCAAUCGGGUAAAAGAAGCGGACCAAUUGGACAACAACACAAACCAGAACAACUUCCAAGAACAACUAAUUAGAAAAAACUCCGCCAUAGCGAAAACAGCAAUCCAAUUAGACAAAAUCUCGAUUGAGAUAAAUUUAUCGAUAUCGAUAUUCCAAUUACCCCACACUAGAGGUCGCUAACGGCUCUGUGUGUUGCUCCGGCGCACUAGAGAUAAAUCUUUUUACUGCACACUUCGAUUAGAAAAUUCCUUUAUUAAUUGACUGGCUUAAUUAAAACGAUUUCGUUGGUUUCUUCCUAGUGGUAAAAUUAUGGUAGGAGAUUAAAUUUUUAGUAGAUUAUUACUAAACCUAAUUAUAUAGGAACUCUGAUCCUGAAUGCAAGAUUAAAUUUUAAUCGUUUUAUCGAGAUAACAUGGUGCCUCCCUUUUCCGGGGUGCGCCGUUUUAGAAAGGUACAAGAACUAUACAAAACUUAAUAGAAUUUCUUUUAAUGGAAGCUGAAAAUAGUACGGUACUUAUUUCAAGAAUCGAAUCAGUAAUGCUAUGUUUAAGGAACAAUUGUUAUUAUACCUAACACUUAGAUGUUUUCAAAAAAAUAAUUAAUAAAAAAAAACUCAAAGCA